AACGAACGCUGGCGGCGUGGCUAAGACAUGCAAGUCGAACGGACUAUCGAAUUGGGUAACCGAAACGAUAGUUAGUGGCGAAAGGGUGAGGAACGGAUAGGUAACGUACCUCGGGCUUCGGAAUAGCGCCUCGAAAGGGGCGGUAAUACCGGAUGACAUCACGAAUUGUAAGGUUUGUGAUCAAAGAUUUAUCAGCCUGAGAGCGGCCUAUUUCCUAUCAGCUAGUUGGUGAGGUAAUGGCCCACCAAGGCAACGACGGGUAGCGGGACUGAGAGGUUGACCCGCCACAUCGGGACUGAGACACUGCCCGGACCUCCACGGAGGGCUGCAGUAACGAAUAUUGGGCAAUGGGCGAAAGCCUGACCCAGCGACGCCGCGUGUAGGAUGAAGUUCUUCGGAAUGUAAACUACUGUCAGGGACUAGAAAAUUUCGAUUGAUCAGUCCCAGAGGAAGUCACGGCUAACUUCGUGCCAGCAGCCGCGGUAAUGUCUGUACU
This 496-nucleotide ribosomal RNA is filed under the name uncultured bacterium. RNAcentral describes it as "bacterial SSU rRNA". It matches the Rfam family "Bacterial small subunit ribosomal RNA", at positions 29 to 531 of the family's 1533-position model. The record is from RNAcentral.